AGCUAAUCUGCCCUUUGGUCAGGGAUAGCCUCGGGAAACUGAGGGUAAUACCUGAUAGGGGAUUUUCCCUGGAAUGAAUUAUCCCUCAAACUCGUGCCAAAGGAUGAGGCUGCGGCGGAUUAGGUUGUUGGCGGUGUAAUGGACCACCAAGCCGAAGAUCCGUAAGGGCUCUUAGCGGAGAGGCCCUGAGAGGGAAUCUGAGACACUAUUCCCAGCCCUACGGGGUGCAGCAGUUAGGAAUAAUCUGCAAUGCGCGAAAGCGUGGCAGUUUGAGCCAGAGUGCCCUUCAUAGAAGGGCUUUUGCCGAAUGUAAAUAGUUCGGCGAAUAAGGACUGGGUAAGACGAGUGCCAGCCGCCGCGGUAAUACUCGCGGUCCAAGUCGCAGCCAUAAUUAUUGGGUCUAAAACAUCCGUAGCUUGCAUGGUAAGUUUCCUGUGAAAUCCCGUCUCUCAAGGGCGGGGCGCGCAGAAAGUACUGCCAUGCUAGAGACCGGGAGACGUAAGGAGUACGAUUGAAGUAGCGGUAAAAUGCGUUAAUCUCAGUCGGACUAACAACAGCGAAGGCACCUUACGAGAACGGUUCUGACAGUAAGGGAUGAAGGCUAGGGGCGCAAAACGGAUUAGAUACCCGUGUAGUCCUAGCAGUAAACACUGUACACUAAACAUUGGGACCUCUUCGGGAGGUUCCAGUGCUGCAGGGAAGCCGAAGAGUGUACUACCUGGGAAGUAUAGCCGCAAGGCCGAAACUUAA
This 750-nucleotide ribosomal RNA is filed under the name uncultured archaeon. RNAcentral's name for it is "bacterial SSU rRNA". It matches the Rfam family "Archaeal small subunit ribosomal RNA", at positions 102 to 859 of the family's 1478-position model. The record is from RNAcentral.